RNAcentral lists this ribosomal RNA (506 nucleotides) under uncultured bacterium. RNAcentral's name for it is "partial 16S ribosomal RNA". It matches the Rfam family "Bacterial small subunit ribosomal RNA", at positions 28 to 523 of the family's 1533-position model. The record is from RNAcentral.
GAUGAACGCUAGCUACAGGCUUAACACAUGCAAGUCGAGGGGUAACGAGAGGAAAGCUUGCUUUCCUUGUCGACGACCGGCGCACGGGUGAGUAACGCGUAUCCAACCUGCCCCCAACUAGGGAAUAACCUUGCGAAAGUAAGACUAAUACCCUAUAAUUUCCUCAGAUGUCAUCUGACGAGGAAUAAAGAUUUAUCGGUUGUGGAUGGGGAUGCGUCUGAUUAGCUUGUUGGCGGGGUAACGGCCCACCAAGGCAACGAUCAGUAGGGGUUCUGAGAGGAAGGUCCCCCACAUUGGAACUGAGACACGGUCCAAACUCCUACGGGAGGCAGCAGUGAGGAAUAUUGGUCAAUGGGCGGAAGCCUGAACCAGCCAAGUAGCGUGCAGGACGACGGCCCUAUGGGUUGUAAACUGCUUUUAUACAGGAAUAAAGUUAGCCACGUGUGGUUAUUUGUAGGUACUGUAUGAAUAAGGACCGGCUAAUUCCGUGCCAGCCGCCGCGGUAA